UUGUCUUCGCCGUGUAAAGCCCCUUCGAUGAGUCGAGUUGUUUGGGAAUGCAGCUCUAAAUGGGAGGUAAAUUUCUUCUAAAGCUAAAUAUUGGCCAGAGACCGAUAGCGCACAAGUAGAGUGAUCGAAAGAUGAAAAGCACUUUGGAAAGAGAGUCAAAAAGCACGUGAAAUUUGUUGAAAGGGAAGCGCUUGCAGCCAGACGUGCCCGUAGUUGCUCAUCGGGGGUUCUCCCCGUGUACUCUUCUAUGGGCAGGCCAGCAUCAGUCCGGGCGGUUGGAGAAAGACCUGUGUCAUGUAGCUGUUUUCGGGCAGUGUUAUAGGGCAGGUGGAAUGCAACCAGCCUGGACUGAGGUCCGCGCAUCUGCUAGGAUGCUGGCGUAAUGGCUGUAAGCGGCCCGUCUUGAAACACGGACCAAGGAGUCUAACAUCUAUGCGAGUGUUUGGGUGUCAAGCCCGAGCGCGUAAUGAAAGUGAACGGAGGUGGGGAACCUUUUAGGUGCACCAUCGACCGAUCCUGAUGUCUUCGGAUGGAUUUGAGUAAGAGCAUAGCUGUUGGGACCCGAAAGAUGGUGAACUAUGCCUGAAUAGGGUGAAGCCAGAGGAAACUCUGGUGGAGGCUCGCAGCGGUUCUGACGUGCAAAUCGAUCGUCAAAUUUGGGCAUAGGGGCGAAAGACUAAUCGAACUAUCUAGUAGCUGGUUCCUGC
RNAcentral lists this unclassified non-coding RNA (707 nucleotides) under uncultured fungus. RNAcentral's name for it is "sequence contains 18S rRNA gene, ITS1, 5.8S rRNA gene, ITS2, 28S rRNA gene". It matches the Rfam family "Eukaryotic large subunit ribosomal RNA", at positions 233 to 961 of the family's 3401-position model. The record is from RNAcentral. Lineage: Eukaryota; Fungi.